AGGCCAGUAGCUCAAUUGGCAGAGUAUCGGUCUCCAAAACCGAGUGUUGCAGGUUCAAGUCCUGCCUGGCCUGCCA
RNAcentral lists this transfer RNA (76 nucleotides) under Pseudomonadota bacterium. RNAcentral describes it as "tRNA-Trp". It matches the Rfam family "tRNA". From Rfam's summary of the family: Transfer RNA (tRNA) molecules are approximately 80 nucleotides in length. Their secondary structure includes four short double-helical elements and three loops (D, anti-codon, and T loops). Lineage: Bacteria; Pseudomonadati; Pseudomonadota. The record is from RNAcentral. RNAcentral also lists the same sequence under 2 other names.